This 118-nucleotide transfer RNA is filed under the name Ancylostoma caninum (dog hookworm). It matches the Rfam family "tRNA". Rfam says of the family: Transfer RNA (tRNA) molecules are approximately 80 nucleotides in length. Their secondary structure includes four short double-helical elements and three loops (D, anti-codon, and T loops). Further hydrogen bonds mediate the characteristic L-shaped molecular structure. tRNAs have two regions of fundamental functional importance: the anti-codon, which is responsible for specific mRNA codon recognition, and the 3' end, to which the tRNAs corresponding amino acid is attached (by aminoacyl-tRNA synthetases). tRNAs cope with the degeneracy of the genetic code in two manners: having more than one tRNA (with a specific anti-codon) for a particular amino acid; and 'wobble' base-pairing, i.e. permitting non-standard base-pairing at the 3rd anti-codon position. The record is from Rfam by way of RNAcentral. RNAcentral also lists the same sequence under 1 other name. Lineage: Eukaryota; Metazoa; Nematoda; Chromadorea; Rhabditida; Ancylostomatidae.
GCACGGAUGGCCGAGUGGUCUAAGGCGCCAGACUCAAGCAUCAUUCACUUGCCGCGCGUCAGCGGUUGGGCGUUCUGGUACUCGUAAGGGUGCGUGGGUUCAAAUCCCACUCCGUGCA